RNAcentral lists this ribosomal RNA (464 nucleotides) under uncultured Desulfobulbus sp. RNAcentral's name for it is "bacterial SSU rRNA". It matches the Rfam family "Bacterial small subunit ribosomal RNA", at positions 922 to 1382 of the family's 1533-position model. The record is from RNAcentral. Lineage: Bacteria; Pseudomonadati; Thermodesulfobacteriota; Desulfobulbia; Desulfobulbales; Desulfobulbaceae.
CGACAAGCGGUGGAGUAUGUGGUUAAUUCGAUGCAACGCGAAGAACCUUACCUGGUCUUGACAUCCCGGAGACCCUUAGGAAACUAGGGGGUGCUUCCAUCUGGAAGAAUCUGGAGACAGGUGCUGCAUGGCUGUCGUCAGCUCGUGUCGUGAGAUGUUGGGUUAAGUCCCGCAACGAGCGCAACCCUUGCCUUUAGUUGCCAGCAGUUCGGCUGGGCACUCUAAAGGGACUGCCGGUGUUAAACCGGAGGAAGGUGGGGAUGACGUCAAGUCCUCAUGGCCUUUAUGACCAGGGCUACACACGUACUACAAUGGCCGAUACAAAGGGCAGCGACACUGCGAGGUGAAGCCAAUCCCGUAAAAUCGGUCUCAGUCCGGAUUGGAGUCUGCAACUCGACUCCACGAAGUUGGAAUCGCUAGUAAUCGUGGAUCAGCAUGCCACGGUGAAUACGUUCCCGGGCCUU